This 220-nucleotide unclassified non-coding RNA is filed under the name plant metagenome. RNAcentral describes it as "partial contains small subunit ribosomal RNA, internal transcribed spacer 1, and 5.8S ribosomal RNA". The record is from RNAcentral.
UUUCCGUAGGUGAACCUGCGGAAGGAUCAUUACAGAGUUCAUGCCCUCACGGGUAGAUCUACCACCCUUGAAUAUUUAUACCUUAGUUGCUUUGGCAGGCCGUGGAAACACCAUGGGCUCCGGCUUAUGCGUGCCUGCCAGAGGAAACAAACUCUGUUUUUAGUGAUGUCUGAGUACUAUAUAAUAGUUAAAACUUUCAACAACGGAUCUCUUGGUUCUG